This is a non-coding RNA of Pelobates cultripes (western spadefoot toad), 235 nucleotides long. NCBI's taxonomy places the organism in Eukaryota, Metazoa, Chordata, Amphibia, Anura, Pelobatidae. The record is from the annotation of a GenBank genome assembly.
AAUAGAAGAUACUGACAUCACAUUAGAUUAGGUUUGGUAAGACACACAAGCUGCACAUAACAUCUCACAGCACAUACACAAUGUAGCCAAUAUUAUUAUACACAAUGUAGCAGAUAGUAUUAGAUAGAUGGAAUGUAUGCGUGUUGUGAAUGUAUUGUAACUGUAAUACUAUAACUCUGUAACAUUCUUCUUCUGUAAUAUUUAAUUGGGCAGAUUCUAAGUAAAGAUUUCUCUC